This is a non-coding RNA of Paramuricea clavata, 114 nucleotides long. NCBI's taxonomy places the organism in Eukaryota, Metazoa, Cnidaria, Anthozoa, Malacalcyonacea, Plexauridae. The record is from the annotation of a GenBank genome assembly.
AAACAAUAUAAUAGUUUUGUUUGUGGAAACACCACGUAAAUUUAUUACUACUAACAGUAAUAAAUUUAUGUGGUGUUUCCAUAUACAAAACUAUUAAACAAUCCUUUGUCUUAA